UUCACUAGGACCCUGCCUGCCUGCAC
RNAcentral lists this non-coding RNA (26 nucleotides) under Rattus norvegicus (Norway rat). The record is from RNAcentral. Lineage: Eukaryota; Metazoa; Chordata; Mammalia; Rodentia; Muridae.